AAGAAGGUUGUCAUCUCUGCCCCGAGCAAAGAUGCUCCGAUGUUUGUCUGCGGUGUCAACGAGGACAAGUACACUUCAGAUAUUGAUAUUGUCUCAAAUGCUAGCUGCACCACAAACUGCCUUGCUCCUCUUGCCAAGGUCAUUCAUGACAACUUUGGUAUUAUCGAGGGUCUGAUGACAACUGUUCAUGCCAUCACUGCCACCCAAAAGACCGUUGAUGGACCGUCCAGCAAGGACUGGAGGGGUGGCAGGGCGGCCAGUUUUAACAUCAUUCCCAGCAGCACUGGUGCUGCCAAAGCUG
This 301-nucleotide unclassified non-coding RNA is filed under the name Hevea brasiliensis (rubber tree). The record is from RNAcentral. Lineage: Eukaryota; Viridiplantae; Streptophyta; Magnoliopsida; Malpighiales; Euphorbiaceae.